UACGGAGGGUGCAAGCGUUGUUCGGAAUUACUGGGCGUAAAGCGCGUGUAGGCGGCUUGGCAAGUCGGGUGUGAAAGCCCGGGGCUCAACCCCGGAAUUGCAUUCGAAACUGCCUCGCUAGAGUCCCGGAGAGGGUGGUGGAAUUCCCAGUGUAGAGGUGAAAUUCGUAGAUAUUGGGAGGAACACCAGUGGCGAAGGCGGCCACCUGGACGGUGACUGACGCUGAGACGCGAAAGCGUGGGGAGCAAACAGG
RNAcentral lists this unclassified non-coding RNA (253 nucleotides) under uncultured delta proteobacterium. RNAcentral's name for it is "contains 16S-23S intergenic spacer region". It matches the Rfam family "Bacterial small subunit ribosomal RNA", at positions 524 to 776 of the family's 1533-position model. The record is from RNAcentral. Lineage: Bacteria; Deltaproteobacteria.